CCUACGGGAGGCUGCAGUGGGGGAUAUUGCACAAUGGGGGGAACCCUGAUGCAGCGACGCCGCGUGGGUGAAGAAGCGCUUCGGCGUGUAAAGCUCUGUCAGCAGGGAAGAAAAUGACGGUACCUGAUGAAGAAGCCCCGGCUAACUACGUGCCAGCAGCCGCGGUAAUACGUAGGGGGCAAGCGUUAUCCGGAUUUACUGGGUGUAAAGGGGGCGCAGACGGCGGUGCAAGUCUGGAGUGAAAGCCCGGGGCCCAACCCCGGGACUGCUCUUGAAACUGCGUGGCUGGAGUGCAGGAGGGGCAGGCGGAAUUCCUGGUGUAGCGGUGAAAUGCGUAGAUAUCAGGAGGAACACCAGUGGCGAAGGCGGCCUGCUGGACAGCAACUGACGUUGAGGCCCGAAAGCGUGGGGAGCAAACAGGAUUAGAUACCCCGGUAGUC
RNAcentral lists this ribosomal RNA (440 nucleotides) under uncultured bacterium. RNAcentral describes it as "partial 16S ribosomal RNA". It matches the Rfam family "Bacterial small subunit ribosomal RNA", at positions 338 to 795 of the family's 1533-position model. The record is from RNAcentral.